AGAAAAAAUAGGUGUGUAGUAGGGCUGCUAACUUUAACUACGAGUAGUUCAAUUCUAUUCUUUUUCUU
RNAcentral lists this transfer RNA (68 nucleotides) under Loxocorone allax. RNAcentral's name for it is "tRNA-Ser(GCU)". The record is from RNAcentral. Lineage: Eukaryota; Metazoa; Entoprocta; Loxosomatidae.